Molecule: ribosomal RNA, 426 nt
Filed under: uncultured bacterium
Lineage: Bacteria
Description: bacterial SSU rRNA
Rfam family: Bacterial small subunit ribosomal RNA
Source: RNAcentral
GUAGGGAAUAUUGCACAAUGGGCGCAAGCCUGAUGCAGCAACGCCGCGUGCGCGAUGAAGGCCUUCGGGUCGUAAAGCGCUUUUCGAGGAGAUGAGCAAGGACAGUAUCCUCGGAAUAAGGAUCGGCUAACUACGUGCCAGCAGCCGCGGUAAAACGUAGGAUCCGAGCGUUAUCCGAAUUCACUGGGCGUAAAGCGCGUGCAGGCGGCUCGGUAAGUUGGAUGUGAAAUCUCCUGGCUCAACUGGGAGAGGACGUUCAAGACUGUCGGGCUAGAGGACGGUAGAGGGAGGUGGAAUUCCCGGUGUAGUGGUGAAAUGCGUAGAUAUCGGGAGGAACACCAGUGGCGAAGGCGGCCUCCUGGGCCGUUCCUGACGCUCAGACGCGAAAGCUAGGGGAGCGAACGGGAUUAGAAACCCCAGUAGUCC